Long non-coding RNA from Lycium ferocissimum, 668 nucleotides. RefSeq lists it as uncharacterized. The record is from RefSeq and is a predicted model, not a curated record. The transcript is spliced from 2 exons. Lineage: Eukaryota; Viridiplantae; Streptophyta; Magnoliopsida; Solanales; Solanaceae.
GCAUUAGAAUCAUCAUUUAUUUAGUCGCCAUAGAUUUUAGCUUCUAUAUACAAGUAAUAUGCUUAUUAUUAUUACUAAGCAGUCCUUCACGAAAUUACCUCCUUGAUUACUUCAAAUACACAAACAUGUACUGACAACACAUUCUCUACUAGGAGAAUACAUGAGUUGGUUUGGUUCGUUUUACUUUUAAAAUCAAAAUACAGUUAAAUAAGCACAAGCACCAGUGAGUGCAAUUCGUACGAUCUAAUCAGGCACCAGAGAUUUGGCUACUUGAUGCAGCUACCAUCUCAAUAUUAUAAAAGGACAGUAAACUGGAUAACGCAAAUACUCCCAUAGCCACUGCUACUGAAAAUAACGCGAAUUUGCGAAAAAGCAAGGCUAUUUUUGGCUGCUUUUCCUUCAUGGAUUCUGACGCCAUAGACCCUGAGAAUGCAAAUAGUAGUGAAAACAUAAAUGCUUGAAACAGGACAGGCUUUCUUGUGAAUAUUAUAGUUGGUACAAAAUUCCCAUCUAUUCUCUCUGAUGGAAGUUGCAAAAUUAAAAUAACCGUCAGAUAUGCAAUUCUGAAUAUCGCGUCUUGUGUGCCUGUGGUUGUUGAAUAUGUAUCUUCGCCAUUAAAGGGUCGUUUUCUGGAAUCAUCAUCACUUGUUACAUUCAUUGUAGUGAAA